AUUCCAGACUCCUACGGGAGGCAGCAGUGAGGAAUAUUGGUCAAUGGCCGAGAGGCUGAACCAGCCAAGUCGCGUGAGGGAAGACGGCCCUACGGGUUGUAAACCUCUUUUGUCGGGGAGCAAAGCGAGUCACGUGUGACUCAUUGAGAGUACCCGAAGAAAAAGCAUCGGCUAACUCCGUGCCAGCAGCCGCGGUAAUACGGAGGAUGCGAGCGUUAUCCGGAUUUAUUGGGUUUAAAGGGUGCGCAGGCGGAGGUGCAAGUCAGCGGUCAAAUUGCGGGGCUCAACCCCGUACUGCCGUUGAAACUGCAUCCCUUGAGUGCGCGAGAAGUAUGCGGAAUGCGUGGUGUAGCGGUGAAAUGCAUAGAUAUCACGCAGAACUCCGAUUGCGAAGGCAAGUGUCCGGGGUGCAACUGACGCUGAGGCUCGAAAGUGCGGGUAUCAAACAGGAUUAGAUACCCUUGUA
Molecule: ribosomal RNA, 466 nt
Filed under: uncultured bacterium
Lineage: Bacteria
Description: bacterial SSU rRNA
Rfam family: Bacterial small subunit ribosomal RNA
Source: RNAcentral